This is a long non-coding RNA of Ictidomys tridecemlineatus (thirteen-lined ground squirrel), 1252 nucleotides long. RefSeq lists it as uncharacterized. Lineage: Eukaryota; Metazoa; Chordata; Mammalia; Rodentia; Sciuridae. The record is from RefSeq and is a predicted model, not a curated record.
UAUGCACACUUCCGCACACGCGCGGUGGGGCGGGACCCGGUGUUCGCCUCUUCAGACCUGUGCAGCACUCAGUGCGGCGUGGGUUUCCUCCCUCGUUUCUGCGGGAGGACGCUGUAGCCUGGUAGUGGUGACGGAAAUGGGAGACAGGCGAUGAAAAGGUGGCAGGUCUCCUCUGUCUAAGAGCUGUAGAAAAAUGAUCAAUUUACAGGGAAGAACCUCUAGGAUUGUGCCUAUGAUGGUAAGGGCUUCUGCCAGAGCACAGCUCUCCACUGUCAUCAACGAAUCCACGCUGGAGAGAAGCUGUACCCACAGUGUGCCAGGUGUGGCAGGGCUUCUGUCAGAACACAGAACUCUGUGUGUGUUCAAAAGCCACACGAGGGAGGCUGUUUGAAGUGGAACUCCUGAAAUACAGACCUUCAUGCUCUUUGAGUGAAGCCAUUGGUUGGGGGAGAGUGGCAAGGACUUCAGCAGAGCUCUCACCCUAACAGUCUCAUGGAAGAAACUGAAGAGGCCCUGCGACGUGUGGAAAGGCUUUCAGCCAGAGCACAGGUCUCUGAGUUUAUCAAAGACUUUUCCCAAGAAAAACACUUACAAACCCUGCUUGAGGUGAAAUCUUCAAUUACUCAAGAAUCUUCUUGUCCAUGAGAGUCCACACAGGUGGAAGGACUGAGAAGUAAGUUCAAGUCUUCACAACAACCCACUUCCACACAGGAGGAAAACCCACAAGUAGGGAGACUGUGGUAAGAACAUGGAGCACGUAGUGUCCCCUCUGCCAGAAAGUCUGUGUCUCCCACAAACCUGUGCAUUCCACAAGAAUGAAGCUAUGUGUGCUUUUCUCACCUGCAUCCCCAGCUCCUAACAGUGACUGGCACAGAGUAGCCUCUUCUCAUUGCUCAAUGAGAACCCAUGAGUGAGAAAACCUCUGUUCAUGUGGUAUAUGUGGCAAGGGCUUCAGAGUCCACGCUGAAAUCUUCUCAAAACAUCUGUUAUGUAGUAAAGAUUCCAUCUGAUCACGGAUUUCAUCAUGAGUUGGUCCCUGCAGGACAGAAGUCCUGUUAACCUGAAGAAUUGAGCAAUGACCUUAAUCAAAGAUAUAUAUUCAAAUUAUUGAUCAGUGUUAUAACUUUAAAAUACCUCAUCUUCAACAUCAGGUAAUCCACAAUCCUCCAAACUGUCUAAAUUAUAAAAUGUUAGUCAAAACUCCUAAGUUAGAAAAUAUAACUAAUUACCAUCAAAGAAAAGAUCCUGUGAA